RNAcentral lists this ribosomal RNA (494 nucleotides) under uncultured bacterium. RNAcentral describes it as "partial 16S ribosomal RNA". It matches the Rfam family "Bacterial small subunit ribosomal RNA", at positions 28 to 507 of the family's 1533-position model. The record is from RNAcentral.
AACGAACGCUGGCGGCGUGCUUAACACAUGCAAGUCGAACGGUGAAGCGCCUUCCUUUUUGGUGGGUGUGGAUGAGUGGCGAACGGGUGAGUAACACGUGAGUAACCUGCCCCCUUCUUCUGGAUAACCGCAUGAAAGUGUGGCUAAUACGGGAUAUUCUGGGUCUGUCGCAUGAUGGGUCUGGGAAAGAUAUUGUUUCGGUGGGGGAUGGGCUCGCGGCCUAUCAGCUUGUUGGUGGGGUGAUGGCCUACCAAGGCGGUGACGGGUAGCCGGCCUGAGAGGGUGGACGGUCACACUGGGACUGAGACACGGCCCAGACUCCUACGGGAGGCAGCAGUGGGGAAUAGUGCACAAUGGGCGCAAGCCUGAUGCAGCGACGCCGCGUGAGGGAUGGAGGCCUUCGGGUUGUGAACCUCUUUCGCCAGUGAAGCAGGCCUGCCUAGUUUGUGGGUGGGUUGACGGUAGCUGGAUAAGAAGCGCCGGCUAACUACGUG